AAACAGCGGCCGGGCUCCUUCCAAGUCAGGUUGUCGAUGUUUUUGACGUACCCGUGCGGUGUUUUUUUCGCCAUACCAUACCAAGCAUCACUUUUUUUUGGGAAGGGGAAAGCAGCGCUCGUUCGAAAACAGACCCGCGCGCCAGCAAAUCUCAUCGUUGGCGGGCUGGUCGUGCUCAGACGCAUUUCAGCAGCGAACCGGUACGGAUUUACCAUCCCGAUACGCAAAAGCGCCAACAAGCAAGUCAACUAACGGAACCAGCAGUGUGGUGUGAUCGGGGAGAGUGUGUGCGCGCGCGAGUACGUUUAAGAUAAAUCUCACUCCAAAAACAGGAGCAACCAAGUGGCGAGAAAAAGCACCACCAAAAAAAAAAAAUCGUUAAAGCCUUCAGAAACGGGAAAAAGUUUAAACCGUGCGAGAGGAGAAAACAUCUUACGAUUCGUAUCAAGUCUGGAGCUUCCCCCUAGAACAGUGUAUAAAGUUUGCAAAACGAGCUACAUCUGAUGAGUGACUGAGUCGAGAACCAAAAUUCGCGAAACUGUUACUUUUCUUCGGCAUUGGGCGGUUCUUCAGAAACAGUGGAGAUAAAAAAAAAUUUCUAAGAGUGUUAAUUUUGUUUUAAUUGAGUGAUUAACUCUGCGGGUGUGUAGUGGUGCUCCACAAGUUAUAUUUGCUACGCAUCAAACGUGAAAAGUGAUAGAAAAAGUGUUCUUGAAGAAGUUGUGCAGUGUUUGAUAGUAAGAAAAGUUUUACCGUUUUGUGAUUGAAUACGUGACCUCCUAACCAAGCAAAAUUGAUGUCGCUAAAGUGUGCUUGUUUGUAGCAAACAGCGAGGAAAACAUCAACAAUUACAUUCACCAGUAAACAAAAUUGUUUCACUUUCGCUUCGAACUGCCGUUCUCCCUAUCGGUACAUCUAAACCGAGCAAGCAACGCACAAGAACUGGUGCGAAGAGAAAUAUUGAAAAGCAGCCGGCUCAGUCACCAAAGCAAACGCCACGUGGGAAUUUAACCUACAGGAAGAACGGGUGUGACAACAACGACCGUUGCUUGGACGUACCGCGAUUUUCGCGUCCCCGCCAAACCCACACGCCAGUUCCCCGUUUGCAACUGCACCGUACCCGUGAGAGACAGCUGAUGAUGGUUCUUUGUUGUUUUGGAUUGAUGCUUUGAACAACAAGAGUCUUUCAGUGUGCCGAACGUACGUCAAAAUAUGGCCGACGUCGAAGUAAAUUGUGUUUACGCUUCGGUGCUGAUAGGUCAAAUUGUUUUCCAACGAACGUCUUUCCAAGCGCAUGAGGAACCGUAAAUGUUAAGCAACACGCAAGGCUACUAUCCGGUGAGCUGCCGUCAGAGAAUCGGAGAAGGAAAAGUCUUCAAAGUCAAUUUUUGGAGUCAAACAUAAGACACAAAUUCUCUGACCAAAAUCGAAAAACGAUAUUUGAUUAUAAAUUUAAAGUGAACUAUCUUUAACCGAAAGGGUAUCGCCACAUCGACCCCAGCACAUUAUCAAAACAAAAAGCCCUGACACGUGACAAAUGGCAUGAACGUCUGCAAAAGUGAGCGUCGCGGCAAAAAAGGUGAAAAACGACUGCGCGUGACUUUCCUUCCCGCGGACAUGAUUCACCGUUUUGGGGAAGAAAAGAAGAAAAAGGUCGCCGCCUCUAGACGCGCAUUCAGUUAACUCGGCGAAGAAUCCUUAACUUUCAUUUUCUCUUCCAUAGCCAUUUGCAAUGAAUGCAAUCCUUCUCUGUCAUCGGUGCUUUGGUUGGGGCUUUGCGCCAUGACACGGUGCGAACAGUACUAGACAUUUAAAGCGUUGUUGACUGCGGCAAUUGUAGGAAAACACGGGGGUCUUUUUGUAAGUAGCUUCUUGGUGCCCGAGACACAACAAUCGACGGUUGCGUUCCGGUAGAUGAGGGUUAAAAGAUAGGCAACCCGCUCAUAUUGAUUGUGGGUUGUGCAUUGUGGAUGCACACAAAAGGAAGAAGUGAAGAAUUGUGUUGCUGCAGCGAGACAUAGCUGGUGUCCAAUGGUUGUGAUUUUAAUUAAAAUUUUCUACAACAUUGUAUCUGUGAUGAUGGGGCGGUCCGGUGGCCGAGACUUCUCGAGGUUGUAGUGCCAAGGAAGAAGAAGAAGUAUCUGUGAUUAUAAGGAGAGAAUCAACAUUUUAGGCAACUGCAACUGACCAUGUUCAUCAUGGCAUCAGUUGCUUUCAGCAUUCUAUCGACUUCAGAGUAGUAUUCUCAGAUGAUACCACAG
RNA transcript from Anopheles stephensi (Asian malaria mosquito), 2261 nucleotides. It is a transcript of the gene named knob-associated histidine-rich protein, with no coding region annotated. The transcript has 3 exons. Lineage: Eukaryota; Metazoa; Arthropoda; Insecta; Diptera; Culicidae. The record is from RefSeq and is a predicted model, not a curated record.